AAUUGUAUGCAGCAGAGCUGUCUGGGGGGAGGCUGAAGGAAGCAUAUCAAGAAUGUCUCAGCUAUUCAAGUGAGAAAUCAAAUUAAACCUUGUAUCAAAUAGUAGAGCUGUUCUGUGCUAGGAGUUAUGUCAAAUUCAUUAAAGGUUUCUACACACCAGUCCCCCCAGGAGUUAGCAAAGAGAAAAAACAACACUUUGUGUCAGGGUGCUGUGCUUUCCUGCUUACCUGGAUAUGUUAAUGAUGUGGGUAGAGGAAGGGAGGAUUAUCGAUUUAACCCUCAAGAUACAGGUGAAGGGAGCUGGGACUCCACAGCAAUGCUGUUUGUGUGCUGCUGUCAGUGUCUGUCCAUGUGUCUGUGCUGCAUGGUGGAGGGUGAGAGCCAGGGACUAAAGCUGCAGCAGGCUGGAGGUGUGGAAGCUGCUCUUGUUCCCAGUCUCCUGCUAACAGGCUGGGAGGUGGAGUCACUUGGAUACCCAGCAUGUCUGUGAGUAGCCUGGAGGAGAUGGAAAUACCACCAUCGUGCAGUGCAGCCAGACUUGCUUCUCAUUGGGCAUGAGUCCAUGCUUGUUCCAGGCAAGGAAAAGCUCUGGACAACGCAUUGCUCCCUCCAUGGGGACAGAUUGUAUGGGGGCUGGAUGGAGCACAGGCUUGGCAGGAGAGAGCCUAGAGCUGGGAUGAGCUGCCAGUGCAGUGGCAGAAGAGUCUGCUGGGAACGUGUGAUCUGCAGCAUGCCACGGGACUUCAGCUGCAGGGUGAGCUCCCAGAGUUGCACAGCACAGGCUCUGCAAAAUCCCAGGGGUUCAGCUUGUAGCUGCUUCUCACGGGGCAGUGAGGCACUCUGGAGAGCUGGCAGCUGUCUGGAGGUGAGGAAUGCUGAGCUUCAUCCACUGCAAAUGCUGAAUGCCAAAGCCAUCUCAAGCUGAUGUGCUGAGGCCCAGGCUCUGCUAACACUAUCUAAUUUUUUUUAUCAUCCCUGAUGCGUGUUGUGCUUUGACUUAGAUGCACUCAAGUGUGGGUUUGAUAUUUAAAAGUCAUUUACAGUACUGCUGCUGUGCUGGCAGGAGAAAUUAGUCUGACCCUGGGAUGUACAAAUCCUCAUUUUGGAGCAGAGCAACCUGAGACAGGCAAGGCUGAGUCUGCUCAGGUGCUGUGCCUACUGUUAGCUCUGCACCAGGGCUCUGCAGCCAGCUCGUUGCCUUUCCUCCCUUUUCUUUUUGUUAACUUGUAAGAAUUUUUAUUUUUAAGUCAAAUUUAAGAUGCUAAACCUCAAUUAAGGCUACGUGUAUUCAUUUCCAAGAUGUAAUUUGUUUACAGAACAUUCCCAUUCACAGCAGUGAGCGCUGAUAAUUGCCAUGGUUUGCUUUCCAGCCUUGGAUUUGAUACAGCUGAGAGCACGUGAAGGUGGCUCCCAGGUGGGCAGUGUUGGCUCCUGGGUGGGAACAUGAGGAGCUUACCUAGGAGCUGAUUCUGACCUGGGCACUUCUGCUUUUGCCCAAAGCAGUUCUUGUCCUGGGGUCUGGGAAUGAGCCUGGCUGUGCUUGUUCCCUCUUUUGUCUGUCCUGUGAUACCCUUUGUUAUUUCUGCCCCCAGCAUGAUCUGUAGGCAUCCUCAUCCUGCCCCAGUAUUCCUGCAAGGCCGAACAAACUGCAGUGUGUGUGCUCCUGGAGACAGAGCUGCAGAAAAUCAAUGGGGCUAGAAGAGAAUGAGGCAGUACGUGCUUGUCCUUCGAGCUGCCAGCAGAGGGGAUGGCAUCUUUGCAGCAUGAUGGCUCAUGGCUAUUUUUUUUCCUCUGGCAGGAGCUAUUGCUCUGAGCUGCAGAGAUGCUGUACUGAAGCUUUGACAUGCUGAGCUCUGUGUCCAAUUCCUUCGAAGUACGCUGUUCCAUCUACCUUUGAGAUGCCAGCUUCUCUAGGGUGAGGUGGGCUGUGCAGCAGAGCUGUCCCUGCUCACACUGUAAUCCUCAGCUGUCAGUGUCUUGGAUGAGUUCUUGGAGGGUAUCCAGACAAACACAGGAGAGAUUUCAACUGCUGCGAUCCCCUGUCCUAUUUUAUCUCAUUUCUGACAGCCCAAGUCUGCUGAGGUUGGGAAGUGGUGAAAAGAGGAGAGCAGCUUCCUGCAUUUGUGGAUGAAGAAGCACUCCUUGCUCUGACAGCCUGCUUGCUUCUGCUGUUUCCCGCACUACUGACGGACUGUCUCUUGCCUUCCAGACUAGCUGCAUCUUCAGGAGAAUGUCCCAGAUGGCUCUUUAGGGAAAGAAAUCAGAGACUGAUCGGUGGCCAAAAAAAGUCUCUCAUCUAGUAUCAAAGCCUUAGCUGCACCUUAUGCUUCCCAAGGACAGCUUGGAAAGGGCGCAGUGGAGCUGCUGCUGUUCCUCUUGCAGGGUAUCUAGAGAAAAUCCUGUGUUUCCAGAUAAGGAUGUGCUGGAUUUACAGUUGCCUACCAUUGUUAAUGCAUCCUUGUCUGUGUGGUCAUGUGAAGGUUGCUUUCCCAUUGACCAGAGGGAGAUCAGACCCAUGGUUCAUCUGUACACCCUUCUUAGAGCUGCUGAAGAAACUCAAAAUGGGGUGAUGGCCCCAUGUUCCUUCCUGGACCGUGCUCUUUCUCAAGGGGCUUCCUUGUCUCCACUGCAGCAAGAUGCAGAGCCUGAACUAACUCUGAGCAAGGAACUGUGGAGUCCAGGAACAGCAGAUCUGCUUUAAGUGAGGCUCUUGCCCUGGGUAAUCAUCCCAUCUUGAGAAACACAACAUACUAUCUUAGACUUCUCCCCAAGCCUGCAAAGCCUCCUUCCCAAAUGCUCCUGAAGAGCUUCCUUUUGGAGCAGAGCUGCAGGAGACAAAACAAUCUCUGCUCUUGCAGAAAGAAGCUUGUAUACCUGGAUCUCUCCCCUCAGCCACUGCUGCCCUGGAUGGUGUUUGUUGGCAGGCUUUGCUCCCAGUGCUCCUGCUUACCUCGUGCUCUCCCAAGAGGAACAAGUUUCACAUGAUGGCUUUGGAAAUAAGUCAGGGCAUGUGCCUUGGGCAGCACAAAAGGAACUGGAAACCUGAGCUUUGUUUGCAUGCACGUUGUUCCUGGUGUUGGCAGGGAUGAACCCUGGCUCCAUGCAGCUGCUGUGACUGGUUUACUGGGCACGGCAUGAGAUCCCUCCUCCUUGAAGGACAUUCACUGUUUUUUGAAGCCAUGACUGCCAGCAGAGGUAAGAUUCACGCUUUCUGAGAGCAGCAAGCUUUUUGUGUUUGUCUCCCAGCUCGGGUGAGCAGUUCUGCAGGAGGGCAAGGAGGGGAGCUGCACGCAAUUACCUGCAAACACUGGAGAGCGGUCAGAGGUCCCACUAUCAGCCAUGGCCCAGAUGUACUGAGUGAGCCUGCUCCCAGCAUCCUUGGCUCCUGCAGAUGCACGUGAGCCAGGCUGGCUGUGUGCUGCAGGUGGAGGAGAAAAGAAGCCUUUCAUCUGCUCGCACAGAGCAGGCUGGCAGCCAGCUCAUGCCUGCUGUUUGGUUCCCUCUGCCACAGCCGGAGUAGGGAGGUGGGAGCUGAGCAGCUGUGCCCCUCCUCAGGGAUCAGCCCAGGGUGAGAAAUGUUAGGGGGAUGGACUCUGCUCCCUGUGUUAGCAAUCAGAUUGCUGCUGCAGGGUUAUCUGUCAGCACUGCCUUGGGGUCACAGAGUCACACAGGAGUCCCUCCUGGAGGCACUCCCAUGAGCCAGGUGAAAGCUAGCUGAUUUAUCAGGUGCUCUCUGUGCUAUGCACCCUUCCCAGUGUCCUUGGGAUAUGUGAGCCUGGAUUCAGGCCCUUCUCCUGCCCUUCACAAGGUGUCUCUCCUUCCUACAUUGACACCCUCACUCCCCGCCGCUGCGGCAACAUCCUCCCAUGUUGCUGUCUCAGCUGUACUGGCUCUGCCAGAGCCGUGCCUCUCCUCCUCCCUGCCCACCAUGCCGUGCCAGCGAGCCCAAACCUACUGUGCUGGUCACCUGAUUUGUUUUGGUUCAUGUUCCAGCUGAGGAUAAAGUUGCAGAUAUUUCUGUGCAGCGAUAGGAUCUCAACAGCCAGCCUUGCUUUAAUGUGAUCCCAGGCAUUCGAGGUGCCCCAUUACCUUAUCUCCCCUCUGCAGAUAUCUGUUACUCACCACUCUCACCCUAAAAGCGAGCCAGCCUGGGAGGGAACUGCAGAAGCUCAGCCUCUGCAACCCUGCUGUUGGGCAGAAAGCAGUAAGUGAGGCUCCCAUCCUGCUUUUUCUGCACAAGGUUCCCUUCUUUCUGCUUGCAGCGCUGUGUGGUGCAGUGGGGUGGCUGGGAAGGCUGCGUCACAGCUGACUCACACUGCUGGUAAGGUGGAAACCCCACGCAUUGGUUCCCACCCAGCUCCCCAGGGGCACCUGUUUGCUCUCUGGCUUUGCAGUUCAGCAGUCCCUGAGAUGAACCUGAUAUUGCUGCAUGCAGGGCCAGUGAGGCUGUCCCUCGUCCCAGCCUUACCAGCUGCAUCUUGCUGCUCUCCCGUUGUCACAUGAGCAUUACACCAUCUCUCCCGUGGAGAAUGAGUGUGGAAAGUGCCUGGUUGCCAGAGCAAAGUGAAAUCUGCUCCAGCUUCAAACGCACGCAACCCCAAUCUGUGCACUUUGGGUAAAUGCUAAAUUCUAUCUCUGGUUCAUGAAGAGGAGAGGCUGAUGCUUAAGUGAGGCAUGGGCACCAAACACCCAAGCUUCUGCAGCUCUCAGGUCUCCUGAAAGUUCCUUGAUGCAAAGAGAAACGUUCCCAGCCUGUGUGAGUCAUAGGGCAUUAGGUGGGCUGGGUCAGCUCUGAGCAACACUCAGAUAUAAAGGUGAGAAUUGUUCUAUUGAAUGGCCAAAAAGCUGCUGGUGGCAGAACGGCCUCUGUGAGCAGGCAGUGCAGAAAAAUAAGAGGAAAAUGGAAGGGGGUGUGGGGAGAUGGAAAUCAACAGCUCAACAGCAGUUCAUCCAAUACAGAUCCUUGAAAAUACAGGAAUUUUGAAGGGAGGUAAAAAGAUGUGAUGAGAAACUACAUGGGAAUUUCUAGCAGUGAGGAGGAGGAACUGAAUUCUAGCAUAUUGAGAGGGGUGGAAAAAAAGAGUCAAAAAGCUCUUAGCUACAGGAAUUGGGAGAGCAGAGUGCAUGUUUUUGUAGUCUGGAUGGGGCUGAUGCCAUUCCCAUGUGAUGUGCACGGAUCUGUUUCUAUUCCUGCAGUGCUGGGCGGCUCAGGGUGAGCAGUGCAGGAGCUCUGGGUCACCCCAUUGCCUGUGCUCAGGUCCUGAGCUGCAGGCAGCACAGCUCAGCUGCCCACCAGCUCCGUGCUCCUGGAAGAUGGUCGAUGGAGGUUCGUUGUGGGGUUAUGUAAUGAUUGACCUCGUGGAAACGGGUCUUAGGAAAGCAUGGAAUCAGCUUAGCUUGCGGACGGCUCAAGCUGCGAUGUGGGAGAUGCUAUCAUUGCUGUUAGGAAUUUAUGCUUUUGUACAGUUGGGAAGCAUUUGACUCCACCUCAUUGUGUCCUGGCUAGAGAAACAGGCCUGGGUCACAGCUUUCCUUGGACCAUGCUGAGCUGUGUGCCAGCAACUGGCUGACUCACAGAGCUGCUCCAGGUCUGCCCACGGCCGUGCAGCUGGAGCCAUCGUGCCUGUCUCUGCUAUAGGAGCCCCCUGUGCAGGAGCUGAAGGGAGGAGAGGCAGCGCUCUGCGAUCCUUCUGAGCAGCACAGAUGAACCCACACCUAAUUGCUUUUAAAAACCCCCUGUUGCUAUGGUGACUCAACAAGCGUGAUGCUCACAAGUUCUUCUCUCCACUCCCAGGUCUUGCGUUGGCACUGGGAAGCCUUGUGUGUACCUAUGUACGUACAUCUGCUUUCUUCCAGCUUUCAAAGGUGGCAUGCAGUCCCCUUGGAGCGUGAGCAGAAUCCCUUCUGAGCUGGGAAAAGAUUUGCUUGAAAGGUCUUGUAAUAAGGUUAAGGAGAGGCCAACAGCCGCUCGCCCUGCUGCUGAGCACUUCAGUAGCUAAAUUUAGUCCCUUGAGUCAUUACUGAGUCAGCAAAUUGGGGGCAGGAAAUCUUGAUUUCUCUUUUCUUCCUUUUUCAUCAGUGAUGUACCCAAGACGGGCUCCAGACUGGUUUCCCUCUCAAUCCAGCACGCUGCCUGCCUGCAGUGCUUUCCCCUGGAGCAUCCUUGAGCCUGUCCAGAAAAAGUAAGAGCUCAGUUCCUCUCUGCUGCAGCCACCUGCCGUGACAAGUGGCCUGUCCUCGGGGAAGCAGCAUCGUUUCCUAUCAUUAGUGAUGCGGGGCAUGGGAAGCUGUGUCCAGUCAGCUUUGUCUCUUGCUGGGUGCAUGCUGGCCUGUGGCAGCUCAUGCAUCCCCUGGAGCUGCCUUGAAACCCACUGAUGGGUAAAGAAACCCCAUCCAGCUGCUCUUCUGUGUGCCUGGGAGUGCCUCAGCAUGGUGAAUAGCCACAAAAGAGCUCAGAAGACACAAGCAUGAAUGGUACGAAUGAGUGGUGUCAAGAGAUCCAGACAUGCUACACUGACAGACCUGUGCAGCAGCCCUGCUGAGUUCAGACUGGUCUAUCCCUCGCUGCCCUGCUGGCCAAGGGGCACCCAGCAGGGAUAUGGCCUGGCAGAUAGAUGCCUGCAGGUAGCUGGCUCCUUCCAUACGUGCUUCGGGGUUGCCAGGAGACUGUGAGACCCUGGGCUGGAGCAGAUCAGCAGGUUGUCCAGGCAGCUCAGUAUUGCCCCUGGAAAGCAAGUUCUGGCAGCAGAGCCCCUGUUGCUAGCUGAUGGUAUCAGUUUGUAUUAGAUCCCACUGAGUGUAUUUUACAUAAUUUGUUUCCCAGAAUGAAGUGUUUUUACAAACGCAGCAUUUAAGCACCUUUUAAAAAGGAAUGAAAAAUCACCUACCUCCCUGGAGCUAGGAAAAAAGCUUAAAAGGAAUCAGGAAAGUGCUCUCCCUACAGCACUCACUGGGCUGGGAAGCCCAGAAAACCUGGGGUUGGACUGGAAAAAAUCUGAGGGCUCAAAGAGAAGAGCCUGUGCUGAGAACACUGCUGCUGCCUUCACUGCUGUUUCUGGUCGGGACACCCAAAAGCAGGAAUUGCUUCGGGUCCCUCUGCAGGAGAAGGGAGCACCACCAGGGUCCGGGUUGCUGAAGGGAUGCUCACAGGCCACACUGCUGCUCAGCACCUGGAGAUAAAUCAGUGCUUGCUGGACGAUGAAGGGCAAAGCGGUGCUCCUUGCCCUGCUGUGGCUGCUGAGGAUGGAUGCUGUGCAGCUGGCUGUGCACUGCGGCCCGGGCUGGGGGCUGCCACUCUCACUCUCAUUUCUUUUUUCACGGCAAGCGAAGGAUGAAAAAUCAGAGUAAUGGCCAAGGAGACAACAUCCACUUGGCUUCUCUUGCCCGUGGUGUGAGCGAUUUAUCUAGCUAAGGCAUUGCAGUGGAGUGAGACCAGGAGCAAGGGGACGGCGCUGCAGCGGCAGCAUCAAGGUGUGCUACCCCCCUCUGUGCUGCCUUUGAUUUGCUUCCAGGAGGGAACUCUGCUCCCCAUUCCAAGCAGGCCCGGUGCUGGCUGGCAGAGCAGCGGGAGCCCUGCUGUAACUAAUGAGAUGUUUGCUUCUCGCUGCCUGACGCUGCGGUGGGUUCUCGGUGUGCCUGAGCCCUGUGCUGAUAAACCAAGCCUCCCGGAGAUGGAGCGGCUUCCCUCAGCUACAGGCCUGCUGUGUUCACUCUUAUCUAAUAGGAUCUUUCCUCUGAGCUCUGCUUAAGCCUCCUGUGUAGCAUACCAAACCACUGAGGUUUGAUCGUACAGAGAAGCGGCGCAGAGUGAGAGCAGACCUGAGUGUCAGCUGCCCUCCUUUGGGUCACUGUUGAACAGGACACACGCUCAUGGGGGGUCUGUGGGUUCCCUGUGGCUCUGGAAGGUUCGGAGAAGGGAGCUUUUCCCCCAGCCAAACAUUUAUCCCCUCCUUGCUGCCAUUGCUGAUUAGGGGAUGGGUGUCUGUCUGUCUCUCCCCUGUUAUUUAUUAUGCUGUAAAAGCCAAGGUAACCCAUAUCAGUAAACGCUGUGAAGGGUUUCACACGUGUCAGCUGUGCGUACUUUAUGGAGCAGACACUCUUUCAAGACAACAGGCUCUGUGUGGGGAGGCUGCUGUGAUUAAUGCUGCAGCGUUCACCUGGCUGCUUCCUCCCUGCUGCCACACUGAGCUGAUGUCCCAGGGUGCCCCGAAAAUGUGCAUGAAGCAGCGUGGCACAGAGGGGAGGGAAAGGCUCUGUGCCUCCCGUUGGCAGGAAGAUGAGCAAAGCACACAAGGAGAAGUUUCUUCUCCAAAAAAGCAGCAAUGCAGUGGCACAGCUGCCCAGGGAGUGCUGGGCUCACUGUCCCUGCAGGAGCUCCAGAGCUGUAGGGAUUUGGCACUGAGGGAUAUGGGCAUGGUGGGGUGGGCUGGGGAUGCUGGAAAUUUGUUUUGGAGACGUUCAGACCCUUUCCUGUAGGCACCUGCCUGUUGCAAGAGACGUCCUCCAUCUGCGUGAGUUACUCUGGGCAGAUCCAGCUCUCCUGCAGGAUGCUCUCAGUAGUUGCUCUUGGCUGGUUCUGAGGCUUCCUUUCUCCCAACACUUGUAGGUGAUUGCUUCCUCCUUCUCCUCCGCCUUCCUUUUGUCUCUCUGCAGCACGACAGGUCUGGGAAGGGCCAUCUGCCGCUGUGAUUAAUGGCCCUUUUCUGGCAAAACAACAGAGACAAAUGUCCUUCUGAGCAUGGCAGAAAGAAGCGCAGAAACAAGCUGGCUAAUUUUCAGCCAUUAUUUUGGAACCCAAACUCCUUCCCGGUAUCAAUUUAGCUAUUAUUUCAAAAACUAAUUAAUCCUCACUCAUGCAGCUCCGAGGGACCAGUGUUUAGAUAAUUAACAGCCCGUGGAUUAUGACAAGCCUUGCUCUCGGAUCCUGUUACAGCGCUUGCCUUCAAGUACACUCGCACUGUUGUUCUGCUUACCAAGUCCUUUCAUCAAUUCAUCUUUUUUUUUUUUUUUUUUUUUUUUAAACAAUUAAUAACAAAUAAUUAGCCAGGAUGGAUUCUAUUUGCUUUCUUGCAGCUCAGCUUCGUUUUGGAGGACUGAACUGUUCUUCAGCUGCGCGGGUUUGUAGUGAUUUUGGAGCUAAUUACAACCAAGCAGGAUAGGUCACUGCCAUUACCAGCAUCUGGAAAAGGGAGUUCUUAUUGCUCAGCUCCUCAGUAAGUGACAUGAGGUGUGAGAAAGGAGAUGCUUCUGUGAGAUUGUUGAUACUUCUCCACCCCAGGAGAAUGUCUCUUUGAACUGCCCGAAGUUUCUGUUCUGCUGCUGCUCUGAACUCAUCUGAGGAGAUUUCUGCCUGUGAAUAGAUUUGUCUUUUCUAACUUUGUUUAGGAAAGCUUUAGUUAUACAAGGAGUUUUCAUCUUACCUUUCAUAGAGGUGAAGCUCAGUCUCAGCCUUUUUCCCUAUGAGAUGCAGGUCUCUGGCUGGCAUCCCCUCUCUUCUGGUUCUCCAUGCUGAUGGGCAUCUGAAGGCUCCUGUAAGGCUGGGAGAACACCUGUGGUCCCUGUAUCUUCUGCCCUCUGAGCAAAAGCAGAGCAAGGGGCCCAAGCCGCCCCGGUUCCUGAGCUGUCUCUGCUUGGGGCAGCACAAGGGCAUCCAUCAGGUUGUGCUGGUUUUAAACAGCUGAGCAUGGAUGCAGCCUCACUCCUGGUUUCAGGCAGAAGGAAAUCCUUUCUGAUAAGCUGCUGCUGUUUCAAACAGACGAUAAAUCUCUGCAGGUAGAACUCCCUGUGCUAGCAGUUUGACCCCUAAUGAAGUAUUUACCAGGUUGGCAACUCACUCUGCCUCGGGAAAUACUGUCCUUUCACCUGUGUGCAGCUCUCACUUUUCUUUUGCAAAACCCAUGGCUUAAGGAAAGCAUCAAAGCAGCCAGCAGUCCACUCCUCACCUUCCCAGUCUCUCUCCAUUCUCUUUGCAGAUGCAGUUUGCCAGAGACCCUGUGGCUCUGCACCUUGGAGGGCAAAGAGCUUGCAGGAGAGCUGCACAUCUUUGUGUUUGGGAUGCUGCGUCCUCUUAGCAGCAAUCAGAGAGCAGCAACCCGGGACCAGGGGAGUGGUGAGCCUGGUGGAAAUGCCACUCAUAUACUGGCUGUGAGCAAUGGAAAUAGAGCAAGGGGCUGCUGCUGACCCUGGUGUGUGCACCCUGAGGUGGUGGAGGCAUCUUCAGAAUUGAGCGUUUUGGGAAGGCUGCACUCUUUUGUCCAUGUUUUAAUGAUUUGUUUCAGCAGGGCCAGGCAUCUUCCUCUGCCAUGCUGCCAUGACCUUUGCGGUGAGAUUGUGCGUGGAGAAAUGUGCUGAACCACCCCGUUGCCAUGGAAACCGAGGCUGGGAGGGGACCAGCCUGCUCCUGCUAAUUGCUGUGGAUCUGUGACCCCAUCCCUCCUGCCUCCUGUAAGGCUGCCCGAAUGCACAGCACCGGCCCCAUCCUGUAUCAUCCUGCCCCUUGACUCCCAGCCCCAGUGCUGUGAGCAGGAUCUAGAGUUUCCUUUUCUCCCUUUUGUGUUAUCACAACCUGCAUGAGAUAAGUUAACAUCCAUGGCUUGAGCAUCCCUGCAGCCCAUCACCCCGUGUAUGCACAUCUGCCUGCAUGCUCAUUGCAGGAGCACAGUGGCAGUGCAGUGAUGCACCCUCCCUGCAUCCCAGGCUGCCCUGGCUUAAUCUUGUCCAAUUAAAUAACUGCAGAUAGUGGGCUUAAUAAGGCCCUGCUUUGAAAAAUUACUGACUAUUUCUUUUCCAACGUGCAGUGAAUUAGGAGUCAGCCUGCAAAGCAGUGGUGAGCAGGGAAAGGACUGCUGCUAAUUACUGUCCCUCAUGUCCCCUCUGCUGUCACCACUGCUGUCGGGCCCCCCGUUGCUCCCUGCACCUGAUUGCAUUUUGCUGCUGGUUGUGGCCAAUUUGCAGCUCUCAGCUGCUGCUGCUUCUCCCUUCCCCCCACAGCCCCUGCUCCUCUUCGAGUUUAUUAAUGAAAACCUUAUCUGUUGGAGCAGAUAAUGCCAGAAAUAAUUAGUGCACACAGAGGGCUGGCAGGCUGCUCUCUGCUCCCACCACCCACACCCUCUCCUCUCCCUGUUUACAGUUUCCUGUGCUGCUUGGGGCUGCUUUUUGGGCCUCCUUGCUCUGUACAGAUUUAUUUGCUUCUCUCUCCAAGUUUUCUUUGCUCAAGACAGACCUGAGGCACAGACGCAUCCUAAAGAGCUUGGCCUUAAGCACCUGGGCUGCAGGUGCCCUGACCUUAUUGCUGCUGGAAAUGGGGAGCUGCCCCCCAAAGCCCAAGAGCAGGGAAUGCAUUUGCUCCUGGCAUGCUCUGGUCAGGUCACGGCCUUGCUCCUGCUGUGCCAGCACCGUCCUCACUUUGCUCGUGCUCCCUUUCAUUACAGUUAGCAUCAUUGUCUCUUGGCUUAAAUCUUUCAGCCUGAUAAAGGAUGACAGCACUGCUCGAGUGCCUGGGAUGGCAUAAAUAAUUCCAGUGCUGAGAGAGAUUUAUGGCUAUAUAAAUGUCAGGAGUGAGCCCGGUUUGUAUUAAUGGCCUUAUUAGUUACGUUGCUGUAAAAUACAGAUCCUCCAAUUGUUAAGCGGCCAAGCUUUUGGUCCACAGCAUUAAUCCAAUAAAUUUGGGCUUCUCAAUACAAAUCUUAGUCCCUGAACCGCACUGGAAAAUUCUUCACGAUAUGUCAAAGAGCUUUAAAUGGCUUUGACUGAGAGAGGUGGGAAUAACAGAGCUGGUGGGAGCGCAGGUGUAAGGCGGUGCAGCAGCCCAUCCCCACCCAAGAGCAUGGGAAGUGUGGAGGUCCCUUGGCCGUGGGGAUUGGUGGUUUUGUCGCCAGCUUGGAAAUCACAGCCCAACCCAAACACUCUCAUGGCCCCAAGGUGUCUGUCUGUCCUUCCCACCCUGCUGCCAUCCCUCCCUGUUCCCUGGUACAUCUCAUAUGAGGGCGUUUUGCAACUCUGCAAACUUUCCACCAGCGACCUGCCAAGUGCACGGGGAGGGAG
Centrocercus urophasianus (Greater sage-grouse) is the source of this 12041-nucleotide long non-coding RNA. RefSeq lists it as uncharacterized. The transcript has 5 exons. Lineage: Eukaryota; Metazoa; Chordata; Aves; Galliformes; Phasianidae. The record is from RefSeq and is a predicted model, not a curated record.